Molecule: RNA transcript, 697 nt
Organism: Nymphaea colorata (pocket water lily)
Lineage: Eukaryota; Viridiplantae; Streptophyta; Magnoliopsida; Nymphaeales; Nymphaeaceae
Exons: 4
Source: RefSeq, a predicted model, not a curated record
CCAAUAAGGUUUUUUCCUCUCUUUUCCGCCGUGGGAGUUGAAGGAGAAACCCUCCAUUUAGUUCUCUGCUGUGAGGGUUGAAGGAUUAACCUUCUUUUUCUCCGCCUUCAAGCAAAAUUCAGUGUCAACUUCUUUCAUCCUUCGACCGAUUCCAAUCGCUGCAAUGACUCCGAUGACGGCACCAGGAUCAACAAGAAAUCUGGUGGCAUAAGAUUUUCUAUGUGACAACCAGAGCCAAAUUUCGAACUUGAUGAGACAAUGCCUCAUAGGACGCGACCACUGACGGCGCUUUUAGUGUUUUUAGGAGUGAAUGUUGCUUUAGUGUCUACAAUUACUCCUGUCUAUGACUUUGUUUGCUUCCAUCCUUAUUGGGAGAGACGGGGUCAGCUUAAGACCUUCAAGUUGGAGGUGGCCUAGCAUUCACUACUGAGGUCGCAUCUUUUGCAUAACUUGGUGGACCUCUGCCUGAGCCUAGCUUCCAUUAAGAGGGAAUCGCGCUGUAAAGAAUGGGAACCUGCUAAUGAAAAGAACGCAGACACUGGUUGAAGGGAUCAUAUCAAUCUUUUUUUGCUGCUUUCAUUUAUUUGCUUCCACCAAAUGAUUUUGAUGUUGUUUAGGUUAAACAGCUUUAGUUAUUGAAAACCAGCUUUAGAUAAACCCAUGAAUCAUCAUCUAUAUGAAGCACAUUUUCACAUAA